Long non-coding RNA from Ruditapes philippinarum (Manila clam), 866 nucleotides. RefSeq lists it as uncharacterized. The transcript is spliced from 2 exons. NCBI's taxonomy places the organism in Eukaryota, Metazoa, Mollusca, Bivalvia, Venerida, Veneridae. The record is from RefSeq and is a predicted model, not a curated record.
ACAUUUUUAUGCUCCCCGAAAAAAUUUCGGGGGAGCAUAUAGUCGCCGCCUUGUCCGUCCGUCCGUCCAUCCGUCCGUCCGUCUUUCCGUCCGUCCGUCCGUCCGUCCCCUUUUCUUGUCCGGGACAUAACUUUGAAACAACAAGAGGUAUCAACAUGAAACUUUGUAGGUAGAUAGAUCUCAUUGAGUAGGUGUGCAGUGCACAAGAACCGUAACUCUGCCUUGCCUAAUUUUUGAAUUACCCCCCUUUGUUUAUUUUACACUUUGAAAUUUGUCCGGGACAUAACUCUAAAAGUAUAAGAGGUAUCAACAUGAAACUUUGUAGGUAGAUAGAUCUCAGUGAGUAGGUGUGCAGUGCACAAGAACGGUAACUCUGCCUUGUCUUAUUUUUGAAUUAUCCCCCUUUGUUUAUUUUACACUUUGAUCUUUGUCCGGGACAUAACUCUUAAAGUAUAAGAGGUAUCAACAUAAAACUUUGUAGGUAGAUAGAUCUCAUUGAGUAGGUGUGCAGUGCACAAGAACCAUAACUCUGCCUUGCCUAAUUUUUGAAUUAUCCCCCUUUGUUUAUUUUACACUUUGAACUUUGUCCGGGACAUAACUCUAAAAGUAUAAGAGGUAUCAACAUGAAACUUUGUAGGUAGAUAGAUCUCAUUGAGUAGGUGUGCAGUGCACAAGAACCGUAACUCUGCCUUGCCUAAUUUUUGAAUUACCCCCCUUUGUUUAUUUUACACUUUGAAAUUUGUCCGGGACAUAACUCUAAAAGUAUAAGAGGUAUCAACAUGAAACUUUGUAGGUAGAUAGAUCUCAGUGAGUAGGUGUGCAGUGCACAAGAACGGUAACUCUGCCUUGUCUUAUUUUUGAAUUAU